Molecule: ribosomal RNA, 128 nt
Filed under: Leucobryum aduncum
Lineage: Eukaryota; Viridiplantae; Streptophyta; Bryopsida; Dicranales; Leucobryaceae
Description: partial 26S rRNA
Rfam family: Eukaryotic large subunit ribosomal RNA
Source: RNAcentral
AGACCUCUGAUCAGAAAAGACUACCCGCUGAGUUUAAGCAUAUCACUAAGCGGAGGAGAAGAAACUAACCAGGAUUUCCCUAGUAACGGCGAGCGAACCGGAAAGAGCCCAGCUUGAAAAUCGCGGCG